GACGAACGCUGGCGGCGUGCCUAACACAUGCAAGUUGAGCGACGAACCAGGGCUUGCCCUGGGGCAAAGCAGCGAACGGGUGAGUAACACGUGGGUAACCUACCCCGAUAACCGGGACAACCCGCGGAAACUCGGGCUAAUACCGGAUGUGCUCACUGGACUUCGGUUCAGUGCGUAAAGGAAGCUUCGGCCUCCGUAUCGGGAGGGGCCCGCGGCCCAUUAGUUUGUUGGUGAGGUAACGGCUCACCAAGACCGCGAUGGGUAGCUGGUCUGAGAGGACGAUCAGCCACACUGGGACUGAGACACGGCCCAGACUCCUACGGGAGGCAGCAGUAGGGAAUCUUGCGCAAUGGGCGAAAGCGUGACGCAGCAACGCCGCGUGGGGGAAGAAGGCCUUCGGGUUGUAAAACCCUUUCAGGAGGGAAGAACGUUCGGCGGUGUAAAGCUGCCCGGACUGACGGUACCUCAACAGGAAGCCCCGGCUAACUACGUG
RNAcentral lists this ribosomal RNA (493 nucleotides) under uncultured bacterium. RNAcentral describes it as "partial 16S ribosomal RNA". It matches the Rfam family "Bacterial small subunit ribosomal RNA", at positions 28 to 507 of the family's 1533-position model. The record is from RNAcentral.